Molecule: long non-coding RNA, 922 nt
Organism: Anneissia japonica
Lineage: Eukaryota; Metazoa; Echinodermata; Crinoidea; Comatulida; Comatulidae
Exons: 2
Source: RefSeq, a predicted model, not a curated record
GUUUUUGUUGUAUUUAUGUAAAAGAUGUAUUUAAUUUUAUCUUCUUUAGUAUGUUUAUACGCUUUUACUAACAUUAUAUAGAUAUAGGUAUAUAUCGGUAUAUAUUAAAUUAAAAAAUGAUUAUGCUUUUUUUAUACAUUACCCUGGUUUCCCAGAUAGACAAAGUUCUAAUAUUAAUAUAAUGAUGGAAUAUGAUCAGUAAAAGAAAUAAGGUUGCUUGUCAUUAUAUGAUGAAAUUUAUUACCUACCUAGGUAGACCAGCUUAUUUGUUUAUGAAUAGAGAACACUCCUUCGUAUUAACAUGUUUUUCAUUUAUUUACUAUAGCUAGUACAAUCAUCGAUAUGUGCAUUUAAGGUUGUGAAGUAUGUAAUGGAAUAAUGAUACCAAAGAUUGAUCAAAUCUUGACUGAUGCAAUACUGUUGCAAUGUAGUAAUUACUGUAAAUUGAUGAGAUUUUACACAGCCUUGAAACUAGGGGCAUAUCUAGAACAUAAACCUGGACACUCAUUGCGUUGUAUGACCAACUCCGCUUCAUGUGAUUGCGAGACGAUGUGACGCUGUCUGAUGGUCGUCAGUGGCACUCUGAACGGAUCUUCAUUAAAAAUUGAUCUGUUGCGCACGUCUUCUUGUUGCGUUCUUCAUUUAAAUUGCGUCCGCAGAUGACUGUCGGCGCAUUGAUUGUUUGGCUUUAAGCAUUUGGAAUUGGGUAGGGAAGGGAUGGAAACGGAGAAACUGGGAAUGCACCUUGUCGCCUCGCACUUACACACAGUAAUUUAUUAUGCACUUGGUAAUAUCAGAUUGCAAAUUAAGUGUUGCAUUUACUUUAAAAGCACUUGUGUAGCAUUAACAUACAGUGCUGUGUUGUUAAUGUUGUUUCUUUUGUGGGUUGUAUUGUAGUGUGGUGGUCGUGGUCAUGGACUUU